This 99-nucleotide signal recognition particle RNA is filed under the name Actinomycetota bacterium. RNAcentral's name for it is "signal recognition particle sRNA small type". It matches the Rfam family "Bacterial small signal recognition particle RNA". Rfam says of the family: The signal recognition particle (SRP) is a universally conserved ribonucleoprotein involved in the co-translational targeting of proteins to membranes. Archaeal SRP consists of a 7S RNA and homologues of the eukaryotic SRP19 and SRP54 proteins. In most bacteria, the SRP consists of a 4.5S RNA and the Ffh protein (a homologue of the eukaryotic SRP54 protein). Lineage: Bacteria; Bacillati; Actinomycetota. The record is from RNAcentral.
GGUCGGGCCCUGCGCGGCUUGCGUCCGUGAACCGAGUCAGGGCCGGAAGGCAGCAGCUAUCAGCGGAGCCGUAAGGGUGCCGCAGUAAGUCUGAUCAGC